GCCGGGGUGGUGGAAUAGGUAGACACGAGGGACUUAAAAUCCCUUGAUCGCAAGGUCGUGCGGGUUCGAUUCCCGCCCUCGGCA
This 84-nucleotide transfer RNA is filed under the name Minisyncoccota bacterium. RNAcentral's name for it is "tRNA-Leu". It matches the Rfam family "tRNA". Rfam says of the family: Transfer RNA (tRNA) molecules are approximately 80 nucleotides in length. Their secondary structure includes four short double-helical elements and three loops (D, anti-codon, and T loops). Lineage: Bacteria; Bacillati; Minisyncoccota. The record is from RNAcentral.